This 305-nucleotide ribosomal RNA is filed under the name uncultured bacterium. RNAcentral's name for it is "bacterial SSU rRNA". It matches the Rfam family "Bacterial small subunit ribosomal RNA", at positions 331 to 635 of the family's 1533-position model. The record is from RNAcentral.
CUCGACCUACGGGAGGCAGCAGUGAGGAAUAUUGGUCAAUGGGCGAGAGCCUGAACCAGCCAAGUCGCGUGAGGGAGUACUGCCCUAUGGGUUGUAAACCUCUUUUGCCGGGGAGCAACGGGCGUCACGUGUGGCGCCACUGAGAGUACCCGGAGAAAAAGCAUCGGCUAACUCCGUGCCAGCAGCCGCGGUAAUACGGAGGAUGCGGGCGUUAUCCGGAUUUAUUGGGUUUAAAGGGUGCGUAGGCGGAUCGUUAAGUCAGUGGUCAAAUUGAGGGGCUCACCCCCUUCCCGCCAUUGAAACUG